CUGACGUGCAAAUCGUUUGUCAAAUAUGAGUAUAGGGGCGAAAGACUAAUCGAACUAUCUAGUAGCUGGUUAAAGCUGAAAUUUCUCUCAGGAUAGCAGUAGAAACAAUUAUAAUAACAUUAUAAUAAAUAGUUACAUCUGGUAAAGAUAAUGAUUAGAGGAUUUGGGAGAGAAACUUUCUCAACUUAUUGUCAAACUUUAAAUGGGUGUGAUGUUGAGAAUGUAAAACAAAGUAUCAUUCUUAACUUGAAUAUUUUUUUCUAUUUGUGGACAUUUUUUGGUAAGCAGAAUAUGUGAUGCGGGAUGAACCGAACGUUGUUUUAAAUGUGCCAAAUUGUACACUUAUUAUUAGAUACCAUAAAAAGUGUUGUUGUAUUAUGACAUUAGGACAGUGGCCAUGGAAGUCGGAAUCUGCUAAGGAGUGUGUAACAACUCACCUGACAAAUGCAAUAGCCUUGAAAAUUAAUGGCG
This 471-nucleotide ribosomal RNA is filed under the name Climacostomum virens. Its description in RNAcentral is "partial Eukaryotic large subunit ribosomal RNA". It matches the Rfam family "Eukaryotic large subunit ribosomal RNA", at positions 886 to 1327 of the family's 3401-position model. The record is from RNAcentral. Lineage: Eukaryota; Ciliophora; Heterotrichea; Heterotrichida; Climacostomidae.